This 207-nucleotide long non-coding RNA is filed under the name Homo sapiens (human). RNAcentral's name for it is "LNC_000975". The record is from RNAcentral. Lineage: Eukaryota; Metazoa; Chordata; Mammalia; Primates; Hominidae.
GGCUGGGUGGCCGGGGUGGUCGUGGGGGCGGCAAUGGUGGUUGCAGCGGCAAGGGGAGCAUCAUAGGGGGCUCCGGCUCCACUUCCAGGUCAUGUUCUGGAGCUCGCUCAGGGGACAAUGGGGGUCGAGCCUCCACCUCCUUGGCAGGGGGCUCUGGAGACAGCAACAUGGCCCCUUCCUGGCUCAGGCCUGGUUCCUCAGGCGGCU